AGUGAACGCUGGCGGUAGGCCUAACACAUGCAAGUCGAACGGCAGCACAGUAAGAGCUUGCUCUUACGGGUGGCGAGUGGCGGACGGGUGAGGAAUACAUCGGAAUCUACUUUUUCGUGGGGGAUAACGUAGGGAAACUUACGCUAAUACCGCAUACGACCUACGGGUGAAAGCAGGGGAUCUUCGGACCUUGCGCGAUUGAAUGAGCCGAUGUCGGAUUAGCUAGUUGGCGGGGUAAAGGCCCACCAAGGCGACGAUCCGUAGCUGGUCUGAGAGGAUGAUCAGCCACACUGGAACUGAGACACGGUCCAGACUCCUACGGGAGGAAGCAGGGGGGAAUUUUGGAAAAGGGGCGCAAGCCUGACCCAGCCAUACCGGGGGGGUGAAGAAGGCCUUCGGGUUGUAAAGCCUUUUUGUUGGGAAAAAAAAGAAGCAGGUUAAUCCCCCGCUGUUCUGACGGUACCCAAAAAAUAAGCACCGGCUAACUUCGU
Molecule: ribosomal RNA, 491 nt
Filed under: uncultured bacterium
Lineage: Bacteria
Description: partial 16S ribosomal RNA
Rfam family: Bacterial small subunit ribosomal RNA
Source: RNAcentral